This 604-nucleotide ribosomal RNA is filed under the name uncultured bacterium. RNAcentral describes it as "bacterial SSU rRNA". It matches the Rfam family "Bacterial small subunit ribosomal RNA", at positions 331 to 929 of the family's 1533-position model. The record is from RNAcentral.
CCAGACUCCUACGGGAGGCAGCAGUGGGGAAUAUUGCGCAAUGGGGGCAACCCUGACGCAGCCAUGCCGCGUGAAUGAAGAAGGCCUUCGGGUUGUAAAGUUCUUUCGGUAGCGAGGAAGGCAUUUAGUUUAAUAGACUAGGUGAUUGACGUUAACUACAGAAGAAGCACCGGCUAACUCCGUGCCAGCAGCCGCGGUAAUACGGAGGGUGCGAGCGUUAAUCGGAAUAACUGGGCGUAAAGGGCACGCAGGCGGUGACUUAAGUGAGGUGUGAAAGCCCCGGGCUUAACCUGGGAAUUGCAUUUCAUACUGGGUCGCUAGAGUACUUUAGGGAGGGGUAGAAUUCCACGUGUAGCGGUGAAAUGCGUAGAGAUGUGGAGGAAUACCGAAGGCGAAGGCAGCCCCUUGGGAAAGUACUGACGCUCAUGUGCGAAAGCGUGGGGAGCAAACAGGAUUAGAUACCCUGGUAGUCCACGCUGUAAACGAUGUCGAUUUGGGGGUUGAGCUUUAAGCUUGGCGCCCGUAGCUAACGUGAUAAAUCGACCGCCUGGGGAGUACGGCCGCAAGGUUAAAACUCAAAUGAAUUGACGGGGGCCCGCACAAG